Molecule: long non-coding RNA, 2439 nt
Filed under: Malus domestica (apple)
Lineage: Eukaryota; Viridiplantae; Streptophyta; Magnoliopsida; Rosales; Rosaceae
Description: long non-coding RNA (MDOM_LNC011103)
Source: RNAcentral
UUAUGGAGUAAGUCCAUAAAAAAACGUGUGUAAAAAAUUGUGUAAAAAUAGUGAUACGAAUCCACCCAUUAUAUAUAUACACACACAUUACUCUUGAGUAUGAGGUAGGCUAGGCAAUUUUUGACAUGAUCCAUUAACCCAACACGAAACAACACAAAAUUAACAGGUUUUCCUCGGGUAACUUGAUAAUCACAUGCUAAGAUAAUGGGUGGGUCCUGAUAUACACGUGGAUAACCCGUUACACGAUAAGAAAAAUAUUAAUUUAAUAAUUUUAUACCACAAAAAAAUACUAUAAUUAAUAGCAGUAAGAAUUUAAUCCCGAACUGAACUGAAAGUUAAAAUAUAAAUGUGUGUGUAUAAUAUUUAUAUAUUUAAAUUAAAUUUUGAAAAUUAAUGAUCGUUAGAUUGGUUGAGAUUUAAUCUCGACCGUCCAAUAUUUUUCUCAACCCUAUAUUAGAUUAUCUCUCGUCAAUAUAACUCUUGAAGACAAUAAAUUAAGCCAAAAUUCCAAUAAUGAUCGAUAAAAAUUGAAGGAUUUUGUAAAAAGAACAAAGUGCAAUCUUUGAGUUUCAUCGAACAUCACUAUUUUGAUAGCCCAACAUUCACUAUUUCACCGGCCAAACACCCUUCUUCUCCCCCGUUUCCCAACCUUCCUACCACACUCCGUCUCUUCUUCGACAACCCCACAGCACUCCGCCUCUUCUCGGGCGACCCCAACCCUCUCCGUCUCUUCUCUAGCCACUCAUCCUCAAUCCCCUCUUCUCCGAUGACCCACCCCCGCUCCGUCUCCUUUUCGGCGAUCCAUCCGCAUUCUAUAUCUUUUCCGAAUCCACCCCCACUUGGUAAAAUUGGGUUUUGAAAAUCCUCGAGAUUAGAGCUCGUGAAAGAUCACAAGAUUGGAAGUUUGAAAUUGUUUAUUCAGAAUUGUAGACUAUGAUGAGAGAAAGAGAAGGAGAUGCAUGGAGGAAAGUGGUGGAAGGGGUGGGCUUCCGGCUGGCAAUGACGACUAUGGAGAGGACAUUCCGGUGAAGGUUGGUGAGGGAGAAGAAGGAUGUUUGGAUAUUAAAAUAGUGACCGUUUUUGGCAACUAGUUUUAGUUAGGUGUGUGAGUUAAAAAGGACACGUGUCGUUAAUUGAUAAGAUGGUCAGUGUGUUAGGUACUCCCUAGGGAGUACCCAAGUAUUAUCCCAAACGUGUGCACAAAGCGUCAGGGCCUCCAGCCAACUCUCAACUCUCUCUCAAGUUUCAGGAUUAUCCAUUCAACCAAAAUGCAUUGAGGCUGAGGACAAGAGAUGUGUUGCUUCAAACUUCCGUAUUCCUGUGGGCCUGUGGCUGUGGGCGCACAUCUCACCCUUAAUCACUUGCAAGAGCCGUGUUAAAUUUAUGCAUGCAUGCCCCAGUUGACGAAUUUUUCUCUCUAAUUCUAACACCGUCAUUUGACCAAAUGAAAAACACCGUCAUAGAUGAUGUCAAUCAACUACCAUACAACUGACAUGCUUUAUAUUUAGGAAAUUUAUUAGAAUUUUAUAAUUUCACUUAGUACUAUAUAUAUAGUUUAAUGAUAUUUCUCUUUAUUUGAAAGUAAAAGUCUUAAGUUUUAAUAAUCUCGUAGUAAUGAUAAGUUCGAAAUCAAUUAAUUCUCUCACAUCUUAGUACAACCACACAGCUAUAAAUAGUCUGUUGCUACUAAAUAAGUAAAUAAAUACACACACAUACAUAUAUAUAUAUAUAUGAUAUAUAGGUUAGGGAUUUGGAUUCCAUCCAGAUCUAAAUUGUGGGAAUCAUAAGGAUCCGCACAUCCUAACCGUUCAUCGUACAUCAUGAUUUCAGAAAUAAUUUUGAAUUUUUAUUUAAAAUAAACAUAAAUAGUACCUAACAAAAACUAACCGUACGAUAUACGAUGAACGGCUAGGAUGUGAGAAUCCUUAGGAUCCCCACAAAGACGGUAUAAAGAGGGUCCUCAUCCAUAGGUUAGGAACAAGGACACUUAUUUUUUUUAUACACAUUUGUAGGGCUCAUUUCGUAAUGUAUUUCACCAAUUCAAUCGUCUAUUUUUUAGAUCUUACCUCAAAGAUCAUGGUAUACAAAAAUCACUAUAGUCCGAACCAUAUGACCCUUUAUAUAAAUGAUAGUAAUUUUAUUAAUGUUUCUUUGUAGAACUUUAUUCGUUUUUUUUUUUAUUAACUACAAAUGAUGUUUUAAUGGUUUUGGAUUUAUCUAAAUUUUUAUAUAAAUGAUCUAUAAAUGAUGAAUUGAAAUAUAAACAAUUAGAAUUGUUGAAUAAAAUUACGGUAUAAGCAAUCCAAAAUAAGUGUCGAAAUGUAUACCUAAAAUUGAUUGUCCCUCGAUGCUAUAUACAUAUAGUGAGAAACAAGAGUUCAUAGCUGACACAUUUUGGGAAAAGUCAUUACUUGCAUCUAAUGGCGAAGCCACAUGAGG